Molecule: ribosomal RNA, 650 nt
Filed under: Microbacterium testaceum
Lineage: Bacteria; Bacillati; Actinomycetota; Actinomycetes; Micrococcales; Microbacteriaceae
Description: bacterial SSU rRNA
Rfam family: Bacterial small subunit ribosomal RNA
Source: RNAcentral
CAGUCGACGGUGAAGCCCAGCUUGCUGGGUGGAUCAGUGGCGAACGGGUGAGUAACACGUGAGCAACCUGCCCCGGACUCUGGGAUAAGCGCUGGAAACGGCGUCUAAUACUGGAUACGAGACGCAACCGCAUGGUUAGUGUUUGGAAAGAUUUUUCGGUCUGGGAUGGGCUCGCGGCCUAUCAGCUUGUUGGUGAGGUAAUGGCUCACCAAGGCGUCGACGGGUAGCCGGCCUGAGAGGGUGACCGGCCACACUGGGACUGAGACACGGCCCAGACUCCUACGGGAGGCAGCAGUGGGGAAUAUUGCACAAUGGGCGGAAGCCUGAUGCAGCAACGCCGCGUGAGGGAUGACGGCCUUCGGGUUGUAAACCUCUUUUAGCAGGGAAGAAGCGAUAGUGACGGUACCUGCAGAAAAAGCGCCGGCUAACUACGUGCCAGCAGCCGCGGUAAUACGUAGGGCGCAAGCGUUAUCCGGAAUUAUUGGGCGUAAAGAGCUCGUAGGCGGUCUGUCGCGUCUGCUGUGAAAACCCGAGGCUCAACCUCGGGCCUGCAGUGGGUACGGGCAGACUAGAGUGCGGUAGGGGAGAUUGGAAUUCCUGGUGUAGCGGUGGAAUGCGCAGAUAUCAGGAGGAACACCGAUGGCGAAGGA